GGCGAGCGGCGGACGGGUGAGUAAUGCCUGGGAAUCUGCCCAGUCGAGGGGGAUAACAGUUGGAAACGACAGCUAAUACCGCAUACGCCCUACGGGGGAAAGCAGGGGACCUUCGGGCCUUGCGCGAUCGGAUGAGCCCAGGUGGGAUUAGCUAGUUGGUGAGGUAAUGGCUCACCAAGGCGACGAUCCCUAGCUGGUCUGAGAGGAUGAUCAGCCACACUGGAACUGAGACACGGUCCAGACUCCUACGGGAGGCAGCAGUGGGGAAUAUUGCACAAUGGGGGCAAGCCUGAUGCAGCCAUGCCGCGUGUGUGAAGAAGGCCUUCGGGUUGUAAAG
This 337-nucleotide ribosomal RNA is filed under the name Aeromonas sp. RNAcentral describes it as "bacterial SSU rRNA". It matches the Rfam family "Bacterial small subunit ribosomal RNA", at positions 90 to 430 of the family's 1533-position model. The record is from RNAcentral. Lineage: Bacteria; Pseudomonadati; Pseudomonadota; Gammaproteobacteria; Aeromonadales; Aeromonadaceae.